AGGGCCGGACAGGGCAGGAGCAGUGAGACCAGGGAGACCACGGCAAAUCAGGGCAUUGGUUUACCUGUGCAGGUGAGGAACAGUGGUCAAUUCCAACUCAGAGGUGGGGCCCGCAGACAUGGCCAAGCUCUCGGGCAGCCUGUGACUGCUGGCCAGGGGAUAUGAGUCCCAGAAAAUAUUACAGGAUUAUUGACUGUGGAUUAUAUUAACUAGUGUGUGCGUUAGAUAAGACUGCAAGCAUUGUGUCCACGAUGGAAUGUCAACUGCAAAACUUAAGAUAAACUGCAGAACUUAGACUUCAGUUAGGGAUGUAGGAGUCUACACCCGGGCGUACACCCCAGGGCUCACCAGCAAGCACGACAGCACUGGAACUUCAAAGCCCACCCUUCUGAGAGCCGGUGGGACUAACAGGACCCAGACAGAAAGACCAGACCUCCUUAGCAGUUGUCCCCCGGCACCAGACUCCCCUGGCCCAGAUGGAGUUCCAGCGGCCCGGACUUAAGACACGUCACAGGUGAGCGCCUGGGACCCUUGGGUGUAGACUCAGUCAGGACUUACAAUCAGGAUGUGUCUGAAGUGUGAUGAGCAUCAAUAAAAUAGAUCUGAUUGAAUCUAACUGCUCCUCAGACUAAGUCUGUAGCAAGGGCUCGGGACACCAGCUUCCUGCCUCAAGUCUAGAUUGUUACCAGGUGAGGAAUUUCCACCCUGGGAAGCCGUGAGUGGUGGGGUGGGAAGGAGUAGAAAGAGGCCUCACUGUGAGCGUCUCUGAGAAAAACACGGCCCUCCUUCUCUUUCUCAAAAGGGUUCCCGUGCCCCAAGAACAGAAGUCUCGUCUCAGGAUCUGCACCCUCAGGAGCUCCCCUCUGUCUACCCACUGGUGGAUGGUCUCCCGGCUGGAUUGUGGUUCCCUCUGGGUCAAAGAAUUAAACUGAAGAAAGUGCAGCAGGAGGGCUCCGUCUGCUACAGAGAACCAUGACCCUUUCCUGGGGAUGAGGAGGGAAAUCCACUCUUCAGGCUGAGAUCCAGGCCAGGAGGGUGCAGGGUAAACUGCUCAGAAGAGCUGGAAGCCGGGAUGGUGUUGAUAUUAGGCGUUGGCUCUGAAGAGAAACUGAGUCAAGAUCAGAUGGCUCCAGAGAUGCAAGAUGCAGAGGUGCACUUGAGAGCAGGGAGAGGUGGACAAGACCAUGGCUACUUGGAUUCCAUCGCUUUGCCUGUCACACCAGUGAUGUGAAUGUUAAAACCAACAGUGUCUAUGCUUUUUCUUUUCUUUUCUUUUUUAGGCACAAUGACAGAAGGGAGAGCUGGGACUCCUGCAGCUCACACACCCAAUUUUGGGAGGAGAGGAAUUACAUGGGAUGGAGGGGGAGGAGUCCAGGACUCACGGGGCUCACCAGCUACAGACUCCCAUAACCACCCUGGACAUGAGCUUGCUCUGCAGGGCCUGAACUUGGAGCACAUCUGAGAAACAGAGUCAGCUCAGAUGCUGGUGGCCAACGAGGUCUGCCCCUCCCACAGCUCAGCUGCACUUGGUCAGCAGACAGUGACUUUCUGGCUCCUAAGUGCAUUUUCCAAGGUGGGAUUUCUGAUAUCAGCUGGAGGGGUACAUUUUGCAUAUAACUCCUCCAGAUACACCCAAUAAGAAAGUGUUCUCAGCCUUGGCCCUCUCCUGCAGGGAGCCAUUUUACAGUCAUUUAAAGACUCCUGCGUCUUGGGAGGAGGCAGUCCUGAGCUGAGGUGGGCUCUCCCAGGUGCUGGCUUGCAGUAGGGAGGGCAGGAGUGGAAGGCAGCUGGAGCAGGAGGAGAGAGGCCCCCCACCCGGGGGAAGGGCUGCAGCCAGGCCCUUGGGAGGGACAGUUGGCAUUGUCUGCAGGGAGUCACCAACACUGGAUUCAUAAAGAGUUUUAAGGUGUAGAAGUUGGGUGCCAGCAAGGGUGAGGCCUGAGCAGGGAGACCCAGAGGGAGGACCUGAGCCCGUAGCUCGGGGGAGCUAAGCAGAAUAAGAAAGCUAGCAAGGGAGGAAAAGCCUGGAAACCCGGAGUGGCAGCAACCAAAGGAAGCCAACGGGAGAGAAGGUCCCAGGGACGGGCUCUCGGUUGUCAUGGCAACUGAACUGCUAGUGACUGAAACUUCCAACCCAGAAGGAAUAAAUGGCUCUUUAGUUCCCCCACCCACCCUGUCACCAGGUAUAGAGCAGCCCAGGGCCAGAAGUCGAUGACCGAUAGCUAGAUAGACCUGGAUCAGCUGACCAAGGCCGGAAUAGAAGGCAGGGUCACAGAUGAAUAUUUGUUAGUCAGCUCUUUGUCCAAAAUACCUGCUAACAAUAACUUAAAGGAGGAAAGAUGCAUUUUGGCCGGCAGUCUUUUGCCUAAAAGCCCCAUCUCUGAACCUUGUUGUUUGGGGGGUCAUGAUUUCAACCCAAGCAUUUCAGGAAGAAUCUGGAUGCAAACCACUACAGGACACAGGAUCUUUUAACCCCCGGCAGGCUGGCGCACUGGUGAAACGCACUUGGAUUACACUAGGAAGGCCAAUCUUGGCUGUGCCUCUCAGGGACUUGGAAUCUGAACCCAACCUGAUGGAAUCUUCUCCAGGAUGUGCAUUCACCCGCUGAGCCCCCUGAGGCAGCCUUCAGAGGGGCAGUCUUUGUGGUCAGAUUUGCCAUCUUCCCAUAUAAUGAAGGGAAUUCUAUUAUAUUGCAUGCUUUUCUGAGUCAGUGCUCCAAUUGCCCCUGCUCUUUCCUGGAUCUGUGCCAUGGUCACACUAUUGGGGACACACUGGGAGUUAGGACCCAAGGGGACUUCCAUACACUUUCUGCUUGUUGGUCUGUGACCUCAGCUACCCCGUGGAAACUCCAACCCACUCCUCCCAUGCCUUACUGGGAGGCCAGGAGCAGCUGCGGCAGAUUCUGCCUCGCUAUGGGGUGGGGGUGAGGGUCCGAGGUCAUCAUCUCCAUCCACAUUCUUUUAAAUAAAGGAAGGGAAGUCAGAGGCACACGUGGGGACAACUUAGUUAAUUCCACUACUUUCCUACUAUUGUCUUGAGAAAAAUGUUGAGCAAAGUUUAUGUCCCUUGAGUCUUGGUGAAUAGACAGCAAGUAGCAUUAUUAAAAUGCUAAAGCUUCUUUAGGUUUAAAAUGUUGACCAUCAAAUUACAAUUGCAUUAAGUUAUGUUUAAGUCUCAUAAUAAAGGUAUAAGGAGAGUAAUAAUUUGGGGGUCAUUCCCCCACAAAUGAUGAUCAGGAAGGACUGAGAAAAGAUAGCACAUGGAGAAUACAUGUUCUUAAAAGUGAGCCUAGGGAAAAAAAAACUGCAUCAGUAAGGUUUAAUGAAGCAGAAUAAAAGGAACUACAUGUGUACUGAAAGGGCUUAGGGUACCCAAGCAAGACAAAUGAAAAGAACAUUACAUGAAAACCUAGUCUGGCAAAAAGAACGAAUAUAGAACUAACUAUAGGGACAUUCAGGGAAACCUCAUUAGCAUCCACAUACUAACAAAGGAAUAGGAUUGUGGGUAAGGAGUGCUGGACCGUGUGGCCAGGGACAGGCCUGCCUUGGUCCACCCUUGGAUAGAACUAAGCUCAUUCUCCUGAUCCAGUGUGGCUGCCAGUAGGCGGGUCUGAGAGGCCAGUCAAGCGUGCCCUGGCUAUCAUGUGUAAUGCACGGCAUUAUAAGAGUUAGAAGGUACACUAAUAAUACAGCUAAAAUGUUCUAGAUUUUUAAGAUCUUUAUUUUUUUGUGUGGUUACAGAAACAAUAGAGUCAUCACAAAAUUUUCAACUGUACCAACACAGAAAGCAAAUGUAUAACACAGAAAGCAAAUGUCCCUGUAAUCCUACCCUAGAAUAACUAAUUGAUUCUUUCAGAUACAUUUUUGGCCACAGGCCUAGAUAGUCCCAUAAACCAGACUCAUUAUUACCAGCAUAAUCUUAACUCAAAACUUGUUGGUGGCUUCCCAUUCUCUGUUGCUACAAUGCAAUGCCCCAGACAGAGCAAUCUAUAAAGAAUAAAGGUUUUUUCAGUUCAUGGGCAUUGAAAAUUCAAGAUAAGAUCAGGGGCCUAAUCUGGUAAGUUCAAAGGCCAUUCAACAUUGACAUGGCAAGACAGAGGGUCCUAGCUCAGGUCUCUCCCCUUCUUCUUAUACAGCCACAGUCCCACUGGGCGAGGACCCCACCUUUAUGGCCCCAGUUAACCUUAAUUACCUCCUAGAGGUCAUACUUCUACACAUCGUGAUUGGAUCAAGUGUUCACCUCUUACACCUCACAAUGGAAACUGGAUUUCAACAUGAGUUUUCUUGGGGACAUUCAAACCACAGCAAUACCUAGGAACCCACAUAUAUUUUUUUUAAAAAUUCAUUCUGAAGAUAGAUCGGUUUAUUUUAUGAUAUUGAUGGGGUUUGUGCUCUUCCAUAACUUUUUGCUAUUACGCUGAGCAUCCCUGAUUCCCACGGUACUUCCAAUCAGCAUGGAAAAGAUGGUUCAUACCACAGA
RNA transcript from Ictidomys tridecemlineatus (thirteen-lined ground squirrel), 4479 nucleotides. It is a transcript of the gene named olfactory receptor 11H7-like, with no coding region annotated. The record is from RefSeq and is a predicted model, not a curated record. NCBI's taxonomy places the organism in Eukaryota, Metazoa, Chordata, Mammalia, Rodentia, Sciuridae.